Molecule: long non-coding RNA, 1892 nt
Organism: Myodes glareolus (Bank vole)
Lineage: Eukaryota; Metazoa; Chordata; Mammalia; Rodentia; Cricetidae
Source: RefSeq, a predicted model, not a curated record
AAAGGCGCUCGUCCUCCAGUGCUCGUCCUCUAGUGCUCGUCCUCCAGUGCUCGGUGGGUAAAGGCACUCGUUCUCCAGGCUCGUCCUCCAGUGCUCGUCCUCCAGUGCUGGGUGGGUAAAGACGCCCGUCCUUCAGUCUGAUGACUCAAGUUUAUCCCUGAGACUCAGAUGGUGGAAGGAGAAUGCUGACUCCCGCAGGUUCUCUUUUGACUUCCACAUGUAUGCUGUGGUGUGUGCCAAUAGCACAUGCAUGUGCACAUUCACAAAUACACAUGAAAAGUAAAUGAAAAAUUUACCCUAAGUCCAACUUUACCUUCUAAGAAGUAAUCACCAAGCUGGAGGGAUGGCUCAGUUUGUAAAGUGGUUGCAAGUCUGAGCCCAAAUUAAAUUAGGGCCCAGGUAAACAGCUCUGUGUGUGUGCGUGUGUGUGUGCGUGUGUGUGUGUGUGUGUGUGUUGCCUAUGCCUGUAAACCCAGCCCAGAUCAGUAAGAGUAUCCUGUCUCAAAAGAACAAGAUGUACAGGACUUGAGUAACACUCAGAGUUGUCUCUGGUCUCCACACUUACGUAUCUGCGCACACAAAGGAAGUGCCACCAUUUGUGGUUUGACCAAUUGAUAUAAAAUUUAUGGGCAAGAUCAAGGGCCCUUUGUUUUGCUUUGUUUUGUUUUGUCAUGAAGAGAAGGCCAGGGUGUGGCUGAGUGCCCUGGUGAUGCAGUUUUCAAGACCAGUCCAUUCCAGUACCACCCAGCACCCCCUACUGGCCUACAUUUCUGUUAUCUCUGGGACUUGACUGUGAUAACACAUAUUUUCCUUGGUGCAAGUGCUGUUAGUGUAAACCCAAGAAGUGGAAAGUCUCCAUCAGAGGAUCUGUGCCAUUUUAAGUUCUGCACUGAUUCCCUGGUGCCCUCCAGAAAUGCUGUGUGACUCACUGCCCCUCCAUGCUGAACACAUAAGGUCCCUGUUUCUGGCAGCUUUUCCCUCCAAUAGCACUGCUGUAUUCUCGGGUAAGUGGACUUUAAGAGUAGGCCUGGGUGGCUGGGUGGCUGGGUGGCCAUGGCUGCAAGGUGACCCAUGUAGCUUUCUAAGGAGACCGGCCAUUCAGCAAUCUUGGAAGUCUAGAUUAAGCAAAGGUAAACAUUUGAGGAGGCGAACCGGAAAACUGGGAGUCAGUAGCAUUGCGUCAGUCAGUAUUUCUUUCUUUAGCAUAGUAAGGACUUAAAUAUGCUCAAAACAUAUUCUUCUUUUUAAUUUUACACAAAUAUGUUCCCAGGUUGACACCUCUGAUGCCGAGUUUCUAGGGGGAAGAACUUCUGCUGCAAAGACAGGAAGGCUGCAGAGAGCCACUGAGGACGGCAGCACCAGAGAGAGGGCUGCCCACUCAGCACCACGCUGCCCUAUACUGCUUUGGUUUGACUGCAGCUAUGGGUUGGAGAACCAGCAGACUCUCUUCUGCACUACGUACUGGUCUUUUAAAUUUUUCAGAAGAAAUAUGUGCCCCUGAAACAAGCCAGUCAGCAGAGGGGGAUAAAAGACAUCGCAGCUUCCCAGAUCUCCUCUGGCAUGGUGCUCCCAGGAAGAAGAACUUGGCCUCCUCCCUCCACCAGAGCCUCUCCCGAAGACCCUCGGGACUCGCAGACGUGUGUCUUUGCUCACCUUCCCGCAUAUUUUCCCAGGUUAACACAACAGACCACCCCUGGUGGCACACGUGUGGGCUGGCUUUCCUCCUCAGCAAAGCAGCCUUGACCGUUUUCUUCCCUGUGACAGAGCCCGUGGGUCAAAGCACACAGUUUCAGUUUGGGUUUUUUAAUGAAAGUGGGUGACUAGGUGAGUGAUAUGUGGAUUGUGAAUGGGCUUGUGUGCCCACACGUUCUCUCUCACACACAAUAAAUAAA